Molecule: ribosomal RNA, 243 nt
Filed under: uncultured Lactobacillus sp.
Lineage: Bacteria; Bacillati; Bacillota; Bacilli; Lactobacillales; Lactobacillaceae
Description: partial 16S ribosomal RNA
Rfam family: Bacterial small subunit ribosomal RNA
Source: RNAcentral
AACCGUCGCCCCAUAGUCUGGGAUACCACUUGGAAACAGGUGCUAAUACCGGAUAAGAAAGCGGAUCGCAUGAUCAGCUUUUAAAAGGCGGCGUAAGCUGUCGCUAUGGGAUGGCCCCGCCGGUGCAUUAGCUAGUUGGUAAGGUAAAGGCUUACCAAGGCGAUGAUGCAUAGCCGAGUUGAGAGACUGAUCGGCCACAUUGGGACUGAGACACGGCCCAAACUCCUACGGGAGGCAGCAGCA